RNAcentral lists this small nuclear RNA (104 nucleotides) under Zalophus californianus (California sea lion). The record is from RNAcentral. Lineage: Eukaryota; Metazoa; Chordata; Mammalia; Carnivora; Otariidae.
GCUCACUUUGGCAGAACAUAUACUAAAAUUGCAACAAUAUAGAGGAGAUUAGCAUGGCCCUGAACAAGGAUGAUACACAAAUUCAUGAAUUAUUCCAUACUUUU